Protopterus annectens (West African lungfish) is the source of this 73-nucleotide non-coding RNA. The record is from the annotation of a RefSeq genome assembly. NCBI's taxonomy places the organism in Eukaryota, Metazoa, Chordata, Ceratodontiformes, Protopteridae.
GGUUCUGUGGUGCAGUGAUCAUCAUAUCUGUUUUACAAGCAGAAGUUCCUGGGUUCAAUUCCCAGUAGAACCA